GGGUUUCCAUAGAAGUGAAGUAAAUUUUUAUUCAAACUACUUAUUAACAUCUUGAGGAAAAUGAAGACUGAAGGGAACAUGAUCUUGAUUUUUUUGAUUGGCACAAUAUGUACUGACAUGGUAUUUACUCAUGAACCAGGAAGAGGCCACCAUGGCCGUCAUCGUCCCCAGGGAGGGGGAGGGAGACCUCAUCACAGGCCCCCCAGUGAGAGGCCCUCAGGG
Long non-coding RNA from Pocillopora damicornis (cauliflower coral), 222 nucleotides. Lineage: Eukaryota; Metazoa; Cnidaria; Anthozoa; Scleractinia; Pocilloporidae. The record is from RefSeq and is a predicted model, not a curated record.